Molecule: non-coding RNA, 26 nt
Filed under: Rattus norvegicus (Norway rat)
Lineage: Eukaryota; Metazoa; Chordata; Mammalia; Rodentia; Muridae
Source: RNAcentral
UGGCUUAGAACAAACUGCAUAGCUGA